Molecule: ribosomal RNA, 429 nt
Filed under: Chloroflexota bacterium
Lineage: Bacteria; Bacillati; Chloroflexota
Description: Chloroflexi bacterium partial 16S ribosomal RNA
Rfam family: Bacterial small subunit ribosomal RNA
Source: RNAcentral
UGGGGAAUAUUGCACAAUGGGCGCAAGCCUGAUGCAGCCAUGCCGCGUGUGUGAAGAAGGCCUUCGGGUUGUAAAGCACUUUCAGCGGGGAGGAAGGCGUUAAGGUUAAUAACCUUUGCGAUUGACGUUACCCGCAGAAGAAGCACCGGCUAACUCCGUGCCAGCAGCCGCGGUAAUACGGAGGGUGCAAGCGUUAAUCGGAAUUACUGGGCGUAAAGCGCACGCAGGCGGUUUGUUAAGUCAGAUGUGAAAUCCCCGGGCUCAACCUGGGAACUGCAUCUGAUACUGGCAAGCUUGAGUCUCGUAGAGGGGGGUAGAAUUCCAGGUGUAGCGGUGAAAUGCGUAGAGAUCUGGAGGAAUACCGGUGGCGAAGGCGGCCCCCUGGACAAAGACUGACGCUCAGGUGCGAAAGCGUGGGGAGCAAACAGG